UUAGAUGUGUUAUUACGGUUGUUUUUGUCGUAGUCAUAAGGGCUGGAUUACGAUUACACAGAACUCUUUGAAUUCAAGAGCACAAAAAGAUGUCGGAAUAAAUUCGAAACACCUGGCUUCAGAACCUUCAAAAGGUCUUGAUCGCGCACUGAAUGAGUCUGGUUCUGGUGAAAACUCAGGAAUCAAGCAAGUCUACCGCAUUGCCUUGACGCCAAAAACAAGAAAGUGUACUGGUGUAUGACCGAUUGAAGAUGAAAGUUAAGCAAAUAGUUUUUGUGAUGGGAAUUCUGGCCAUUUUCUGCCAAGUUUUAUCUUCCACUGUCGACAAUGACGCAUACGAACGGAAAAGAGAAGAAACGCUUGAAUUCAACAUCGAGAAUAAUACCCCGACUCCAUCCUCCUGGCGACGGAAGCGGAGUAUAAGAGCACAAGAUCAAGAAGAGAAACUACAUAAAAACAAGGCAAAGCAAUUUGUCAGCUAGACAAUCUUCUCCCUCUUGAUAACUCUACUCUUUGAAUCUUUUAUGUUGCUUCUGUAUAAUUAUGCAUGAUAAUAAAUAUUUGGUCCUUAUUCCUGCUUUGAAAUUGAUCAGCCUUAUAUUUGGCAAAAUGUGAUAAACGAAAAUGAAUCAACAAUAAAACAUUUUGUUUACAUAGUUGCCUGGAUAUUGAUCAACCCAAUACAAAUAAAACGAUAAAAACACAAAAGGAUAUCCGUGUAGUGCUGAACAUACUUCCAUACCACUAAAAGAUCCUGCUGUAACGUUCUUAGGUCAUUACGCAAACAUAUAUCAGAAAUAUAACCUUGUCCCCAGGCUGCUCACGGCCAGCCCUACAAAUUUAAAUUCAAAAUGGCGGACGCUCUUUUGAGAGAAAUGUCAUAAAAAGUGGCAUCUCGGCCUAGAGACGCCUUGGAACGAGGCUAUAAGAAUCAUCAUGGCUUGAAAUUGUAGACCAUUUUGGGGUUAUUGGCGUGAAAAAGAUCUUGUUGUAUGUUGUAACGCAGGCUAAUUCCUAGCCAUGUUUUAGAUGCAGCUACCAGGCUACUGUCUUACAAAACAUGUUUUGAAGCGGAGGGGAUUGGAAGGAGAAACAUUGUUAUUAUAAAUGUUCCAAUUAAAUAUUGUUGCUUAGACUGCUAA
Long non-coding RNA from Nematostella vectensis (starlet sea anemone), 1142 nucleotides. RefSeq lists it as uncharacterized. Lineage: Eukaryota; Metazoa; Cnidaria; Anthozoa; Actiniaria; Edwardsiidae. The transcript is spliced from 3 exons. The record is from RefSeq and is a predicted model, not a curated record.